Non-coding RNA from Arabidopsis thaliana (thale cress), 94 nucleotides. NCBI's taxonomy places the organism in Eukaryota, Viridiplantae, Streptophyta, Magnoliopsida, Brassicales, Brassicaceae. The record is from RefSeq.
AGAUGAUGAUGAUGAUGAUGAAACAGAAUCAGUAAGAAGCUUCUUCUUCUUAGGAGGAGGAGGAAGAUUGGUUUCAUCAUCAUCACCAGUUGAA